This 793-nucleotide ribosomal RNA is filed under the name uncultured bacterium. Its description in RNAcentral is "bacterial SSU rRNA". It matches the Rfam family "Bacterial small subunit ribosomal RNA", at positions 560 to 1354 of the family's 1533-position model. The record is from RNAcentral.
UUAAAGGGUCCGUAGGCGGGCAGUUAAGUCAGUGGUGAAAGUCUUCCGCUCAACGGGAGAACUGCCAUUGAUACUGAUUGUCUUGAGUUAUUAUGAAGUGGUUAGAAUGAGUAGUGUAGCGGUGAAAUGCAUAGAUAUUACUCAGAAUACCGAUUGCGAAGGCAGAUCACUAAUAAUAUACUGACGCUGAUGGACGAAAGCGUAGGUAGCGAACAGGAUUAGAUACCCUGGUAGUCUACGCCGUAAACGAUGGUUACUAGCUGUUCGGCCCGAUUAAGGGCUGAGUGGUUAAGCGAAAGUGAUAAGUAACCCACCUGGGGAGUACGUUCGCAAGAAUGAAACUCAAAGGAAUUGACGGGGGCCCGCACAAGCGGUGGAGCAUGUGGUUUAAUUCGAUGAUACGCGAGGAACCUUACCAGGGCUUAAAUGUAGUCUGACAGGAGUGGAAACACUUUUUUCUUCGGACAGAUUACAAGGUGCUGCAUGGUUGUCGUCAGCUCGUGCCGUGAGGUGUCAGGUUAAGUCCUAUAACGAGCGCAACCCCUGUGGUUAGUUGCCAGCGAGUAAUGUCGGGAACUCUAGCCAGACUGCCGGUGCAAACCGUGAGGAAGGUGGGGAUGACGUCAAAUCAUCACGGCCCUUACGUCCUGGGCCACACACGUGCUACAAUGGUAGGGACAGAGAGCAGCCACUUCGCGAGAAGGAGCGAAUCUACAAACCCUAUCACAGUUCGGAUCGCAGUCUGCAACUCGACUGCGUGAAGCUGGAAUCGCUAGUAAUCGCAUAUCAGCCA